RNAcentral lists this non-coding RNA (24 nucleotides) under Cricetulus griseus (Chinese hamster). The record is from RNAcentral. Lineage: Eukaryota; Metazoa; Chordata; Mammalia; Rodentia; Cricetidae.
AUGUCUUGCUCUCUUAGUUUGAAG